RNAcentral lists this ribosomal RNA (514 nucleotides) under uncultured bacterium. Its description in RNAcentral is "partial 16S ribosomal RNA". It matches the Rfam family "Bacterial small subunit ribosomal RNA", at positions 355 to 857 of the family's 1533-position model. The record is from RNAcentral.
UGGGGAAUAUUGCACAAUGGGCGCAAGCCUGAUGCAGCCAUGCCGCGUGUGUGAAGAAGGCCUUCGGGUUGUAAAGCACUUUCAGCGAGGAGGAAGGUGGUGAGCUUAAUACGCUCAUCAAUUGACGUUACUCGCAGAAGAAGCACCGGCUAACUCCGUGCCAGCAGCCGCGGUAAUACGGAGGGUGCAAGCGUUAAUCGGAAUUACUGGGCGUAAAGCGCACGCAGGCGGUUUGUUAAGUCAGAUGUGAAAAUCCCCGGGCUCAACCUGGGAACUGCAUUUGAAACUGGCAAGCUAGAGUCUCGUAGAGGGGGGUAGAAUUCCAGGUGUAGCGGUGAAAUGCGUAGAGAUCUGGAGGAAUACCGGUGGCGAAGGCGGCCCCCUGGACGAAGACUGACGCUCAGGUGCGAAAAGCGUGGGGAGCAAAACAGGAUUAGAUACCCUGGUAGUCCACGCUGUAAACGAUGUCGAUUUUGGAGGUUGUGCCCUUGAGGCGUGGCUUCCGGAGCUAACG